GGAGGUUACUGCUAUCGGUGUUCGCCUAACCCAUGCGAGUCAUAUGUUCUUCGUGAACAUGGCGUACUGCUCAGUAACACGUGAAUAACCUGCCCUUGGGACCGGCAUAACCCCGGGAAACUGGGGAUAAUUCCGGAUACCGCAUAUAUGCUGGAAUGCUUUAUGCGUGAAAUGGAUUCGUCUGCCCAAGGAUGGAUCUGCGGCCUAUCAGGUAGUAGUGGGUGUAAUGUACCUACUACCCUACAACGGGUACGGGUUGUGAAAGCAAAAGCCCGGAAAUGGAUUCUGAAACAUGAAUCCAGGCCCUACGGGGCGCACCAGGCGCGAAAACUUUACAAUGCGGGAAACCGUGAUAAGGGGACACCAAUUGCCAACAACUUUUGUUGGCUGUCCAGGUGUGUAAACUACACCUGUUAGCAAGGGCCGGGAAAAACCGGUGC
RNAcentral lists this ribosomal RNA (440 nucleotides) under uncultured archaeon. Its description in RNAcentral is "bacterial SSU rRNA". It matches the Rfam family "Archaeal small subunit ribosomal RNA", at positions 19 to 458 of the family's 1478-position model. The record is from RNAcentral.